Molecule: ribosomal RNA, 253 nt
Filed under: uncultured bacterium
Lineage: Bacteria
Description: partial 16S ribosomal RNA
Rfam family: Bacterial small subunit ribosomal RNA
Source: RNAcentral
UACGUAGGGUGCAAGCGUUGUCCGGAAUUAUUGGGCGUAAAGAGCUCGUAGGCGGUUUGUCGCGUCUGCUGUGAAAACUCGGGGCUUAACCCCGGGCCUGCAGUGGGUACGGGCAGACUAGAGUGCGGUAGGGGAGACUGGAAUUCCUGGUGUAGCGGUGAAAUGCGCAGAUAUCAGGAGGAACACCGGUGGCGAAGGCGGAUCUCUGGGCCGUAACUGACGCUGAGGAGCGAAAGCAUGGGGAGCGAACAGG